Molecule: ribosomal RNA, 301 nt
Filed under: uncultured bacterium
Lineage: Bacteria
Description: partial 16S ribosomal RNA
Rfam family: Bacterial small subunit ribosomal RNA
Source: RNAcentral
CAGUCGCCGCGGGAAUACAGAGGGUGCGAGCGUUAAUCGGAUUUACUGGGCGUAAAGCGUGCGUAGGCGGCUUUUUAAGUCGGAUGUGAAAUCCCUGAGCUUAACUUAGGAAUUGCAUUCGAUACUGGGAAGCUAGAGUAUGGGAGAGGAUGGUAGAAUUCCAGGUGUAGCGGUGAAAUGCGUAGAGAUCUGGAGGAAUACCGAUGGCGAUGGCAGCCAUCUGGCCUAAUACUGACGCUGAGGUACGAAAGCAUGGGGAGCAAACAGGAUUAGAUACCCGAGUAGUCCCUGUCUCUUAUAC